This is a long non-coding RNA of Capsicum annuum, 1240 nucleotides long. RefSeq lists it as uncharacterized. NCBI's taxonomy places the organism in Eukaryota, Viridiplantae, Streptophyta, Magnoliopsida, Solanales, Solanaceae. The record is from RefSeq and is a predicted model, not a curated record. The transcript is spliced from 2 exons.
GAGAGAUUACAAUAUGAAAAAUGAGAGCACAUGUAACUAACCAACUAAUCUAUUACGAUUUUCUUUCCAUAUGUAAUACAUAUUUUUACGUAAACUAUACUUAUUUUGAUUCGUUUUGUACUUUAUUAGCGUCCUUUUAAAAAAUCUUCAAAUUAGUAAUACUUAAUAAUUUUUAUCCAUAAGCAUACCGGCAAAACGUAUCUCUCUCAGUUUAGCAUCUUCAUCUUCUUCCUCUGUAUCAUCUGUUGGGUUUCGAAUCGUAGAUGUAGUUGGCUGAUUCUGAAAUUACAGCUGGAAUUCAAGGGUAAAAAUCGAUCGGAGCAUAAAGUAUUGUGAUCGGUUUAGGGGAAGAUGAUAACAAGGUCAAAACUGGUAGAGCAGCUAAGAGAUUAUCAGAUCCGAUCUCAACACAAGUGCCCUCCUCUUACUUUCUUUUCCCCAAAUCUUCAUCUAUCCAAUUGGGCUGAUGUUGCAGUUGCUGUGUUCUACGCCUUGCUAUUUUGUGUGCUUAUAGUAUCAUCAUAUGUGGCCAUUUAUUUACGACAUUACUGGAGUUCCUUUCUCAUUAUAUGCCUUGCUGUUAUCCUUCCGGUGCGUUUGAGAAUGUUACGACAAGCUCAUGCAAGAAAGAAAGUAAGACAGUUACCUUUGUCUAUGUGAACUUCCUUCUACUUCUGCAAGCACCAAACAGCAGUUUAAGUGAACGGAAGACCUCUUGCACAAAAGUGCUCUCUGAUUAUAGAAAUACAAUUCUUUGAUCUUCGUCACAUAGGCUGACCAAUCUUCUGCCGUGAAAGAUGAAUACGCCCUUCGUAUUACUCUUGAUGACCCAUUCAUUGAGAAGCAUGAUUAGACGAUCAAUUACUAUCCUGUGACAUGAACACCCAGAGUCUAGUGCUCAAGGUUUCAGUAUUUUUAAUGAUUCUUAUUUUGUUGUAAACUAAGCUUUGUGGGUGAAAAAAUUCAGCUCUGGAUAAUACCCAAGCAGGUGCGCUGAUUUUAAACUUUGAAGUGUAUGUAUAGGACUAACACAUACUAUCUGAAUGAUCAGAUAAUAGUCGCUGAAAGGUUGAAAUGCCUUUGGUUCAGGAAUAAUAUACUGAACCGUGUAGGAAAGUUGAGUUCUGUCAGAGAGAGUAUUUGUGUUGUUCAUUAGUUAGUUAGUUAUGUUUCAAAUAGAAGUAUUCAAAAUGUAGACGUUUUCGAAGGAAUUUGAUUGCUAAACUUCUUUUCGGAGUUA